CAGGAUGAACGCUAGCGGCAGGCUUAACACAUGCAAGUCGAGGGGCAUCGCGGGUGGCAACACCUGGCGGCGACCGGCGAACGGGUGAGUAACGCGUGAGCAACAUGUCCUCAGUCGGGGGAUAAGCGAGGGAAACUUCGUCUAAUACCCCAUAACACUUUCAGGCGCAUGCCUUUAAGUUGAAAGCUUUUUUUGCGACUUUGGUUUGGCUCGCGUGACAUUAGCUAGUCGGUGGGGUAACGGCUCACCGAGGCUACGAUGUCUAGGGGUUCUGAGAGGAAGGCCCCCCACAUUGGGACUGGGACACGGCCCAAACUCCUACGGGAGGCAGCAGUGAGGAAUAUUGGUCAAUGGACGGAAGUCUGAACCAGCCAUGCCGCGUGAAGGAAGACUGCCCUAUGGGUUGUAAACUUCUUUUGCAGCAGAGCAAUAAGGCGUACGUGUACGCCGAUGAGAGUAUGUUGCGAAUAAGCAUCGGCUAACUCCGUGCCAGCAGCCGCGGUAAUACGGAGGAUGCGAGCGUUAUCCGGAUUUAUUGGGUUUAAAGGGUGCGUAGGCUGUUUUGUAAGUCAGCGGUGAAAGACCGGGGCCCAACUCCGGAAGUGCC
RNAcentral lists this ribosomal RNA (607 nucleotides) under uncultured bacterium. Its description in RNAcentral is "bacterial SSU rRNA". It matches the Rfam family "Bacterial small subunit ribosomal RNA", at positions 25 to 625 of the family's 1533-position model. The record is from RNAcentral.